GCGCCGGUAGCUCAGUUGGCGGAGCAGUGGGACGACGGUACCCCUUGGUUCCGGGUUCUAGUCCCGGCCGACGCU
Phthorimaea operculella (potato tuberworm) is the source of this 75-nucleotide non-coding RNA. The record is from the annotation of a GenBank genome assembly. Lineage: Eukaryota; Metazoa; Arthropoda; Insecta; Lepidoptera; Gelechiidae.